This 497-nucleotide ribosomal RNA is filed under the name uncultured bacterium. RNAcentral's name for it is "partial 16S ribosomal RNA". It matches the Rfam family "Bacterial small subunit ribosomal RNA", at positions 28 to 507 of the family's 1533-position model. The record is from RNAcentral.
GAUGAACGCUGGCGGUGUGCCUAAUACAUGCAAGUCGAGCGAACAGACGAGGAGCUUACUCCUCUGACGUUAGCGGCGGACGGGUGAGUAACACGUGGAUAACCUACCUAUAAGACUGGGAUAACUUCGGGAAACCGGAGCUAAUACCGGAUAACAUGUUGAACCGCAUGGUUCAACAGUGAAAGACGGUCUUGCUGUCACUUAUAGAUGGAUCCGCGUCGCAUUAGCUAGUUGGUAAGGUAACGGCUUACCAAGGCAACGAUGCGUAGCCGACCUGAGAGGGUGAUCGGCCACACUGGAACUGAGACACGGUCCAGACUCCUACGGGAGGCAGCAGUAGGGAAUCUUCCGCAAUGGGCGAAAGCCUGACGGAGCAACGCCGCGUGAGUGAAGAAGGUCUUCGGAUCGUAAAGCUCUGUUAUUAGGGAAGAACAAAUGUGUAAGUAACUAUGCACGUCUUGACGGUACCUAAUCAGAAAGCCACGGCUAACUACGUG